This is an RNA transcript of Nymphaea colorata (pocket water lily), 1422 nucleotides long. It is a transcript of the gene named derlin-1-like, with no coding region annotated. NCBI's taxonomy places the organism in Eukaryota, Viridiplantae, Streptophyta, Magnoliopsida, Nymphaeales, Nymphaeaceae. The record is from RefSeq and is a predicted model, not a curated record. The transcript is spliced from 6 exons.
UUAUAAACCUUUUAUUUUGUGAAUUUCAAAAUCUAUUUCUCUCUUUCCUUAUUCCUCUCGGAUUAAAGUCUUUUCUCUUUUCCAUUGUUUUGAAUAUUUUUUUUCCUAAGAUCUAAGGUUUUAACUUUUCAUUUGCCGACUUCACCGAAACUAAAACUCAAGUAAUGACCCAAUAUUGGAAUCAUACUUGAUGGUUUAGAACCCUAUUCCAUUUUCAAAAACUUUUCUAUUUUCAUAAAGGGCUCGUUUGAUUCACUGGAAAUAUACUGUUGAACAAGAAAUAUGUUUUAAAUAUUUAAAAUAUUUCCAUUUCAUCAAAUGUGCAAAUAUUUUUUGUAACGUUGAAGACAUUUCAGAAAAAAAUUUCCGGAAACAUCUUUCCACCGUGAGAGGUGGAAAGAUAUUUUCUGUUUUUUUUUUUGCCCGUUAGGGCAUGCAAAGGCCAUCUUCUUGUCCUCAGCUGCUUCACCCCACCCACGAGAGAGAGAGGAAUGCUGCUCCUGCUGUUGCUGCCUUCCUUCGUUGCUGCUGCCUCAGAUGCAUCCGUCGUCCCUCUCACCCUCUCAUUCUCUUGCUGUUGGAUCUGGAAAAGUUGCCUCAAGAAACAUCAUCAACUCCUUGCAAGGGCUGAAAAUCAAAUGGGUACUAGCAUCAGUUCUACAAGUAAGCAAAACUUAUGGAACCAUAUGCGCGUUGACAACAACUGUGUUUCAUCUUGGCUUGGUUAAUCCUUACUAUAUUGCUCUAAUAUAUAGUGAAGUGCUUCAAUGCUUUCAGAUAUGGAGGGUCAUUACAAAUUUUUUAUUCCUUGUUAAGUUCACUAUUAAUUAUGGAAUCAUCUCGAUGAUGCAUUUUCCAUUGUUCUGCAGAUGAUGCCAUUUUUCCUAGGAGUAUCACUGGUUUUCAUGCUUUUGUAUGUAUGGAGUAGAGCAUAUCUAAAUGGUCAAAUUAACAUAUAUGGCCUUGUUACUCUAAAGGCUUUUUAUCUGCCCUGGAUAGUACUAGCGUUGGACGUCAUCUUUGGAUCUCCUUUGCUUCCACAUCUAAUGGGGAUUGUUGCAGGUCAUCAUUAUUACUUCUUAACUGUGCUCCAUCCAUCCGUUGGAGGGAGAAACCCUUAAGUUUUUUUUUUUUUCCUUGAAAAAUGGAGGGGCCUGUAGCGGUGACAAUAGUCACUACUAAACAUACCAUUUCCACGUAACAGACCAUAUUGCCAACAACUUCCACCCUCGCCAACAAAGUGGCAAGUAUUGCCAAUAACAUUAUUGGCAACGGCAGCCUGGAUUAUCCCCUACGGUGAGGGUCAUUGCCUAUGAUGUUAUUCGCAACGACUUUGUGGCUAUUUGCAAUGGCCAAAUAACAAUGUUUGUAGUAGUGCAAACAAUUAUUUCGCAUCUUUGGAGCCAAUUCUGAUGGCAAAGC